Molecule: long non-coding RNA, 1432 nt
Organism: Leucoraja erinaceus (little skate)
Lineage: Eukaryota; Metazoa; Chordata; Chondrichthyes; Rajiformes; Rajidae
Exons: 6
Source: RefSeq, a predicted model, not a curated record
AGUGGUUGCUACCCGGUGCCAGCUGAAGGUCCGUGCAGUCUUUCUUUUCUGUUGAAUUAAUUUGAUUCUAUUUUUGAAACUCACAGUGUUUCUAAGGGAGACCUGGUGACGCAAUGACGUCAAUGCAGGUCAACAAGACACUGGAGGAUCGGAGCAGCACCGCCAGGGUCUGGCUACUGUCAAAUACUAAAACUCCCCACACAUCCAACCCAUCACACCCGGCUGCUACCCGAACAUGUUUGUCGCCCACAAAAUAGAAAGUAUAAGCUAGCCGCGGAGGGGAAAGGAAAAAAAAUGCAGCCUAGACAGACACACGGAGAGAGGUUAUGGGGAACUCGCGUCGCCCGGAUAGGAGAAAUUCUCCGAAAGGAGGAGACGAGAUCCAAAACCGACGAAACGAGGGGACUUGAUGUAACAGCCAAAGUACCAACCAUCCACUCCUACAUUAUAAAAUGUGUUGUUAUUACUCUUCACCUACAGCCCCUGAAGAGACUAUAAACGUGACGUCAAUGGGAGAAGACUGACGCGGCCAAAAGAGAGGAAAAACUCAACCAUCUGAGCACAAGCCACAUAGAGCAGCUUUAAUCGCUCUCGUUCUUGACAUUUCUAGCUUCAAAUGGACGCUAUAAAGGGCAAUUAUCUCCCUUUUAUCCCGACACCUCUAUAGCAAUAAAUAAAGGUAUUAAAAAAAAGCACGCACAAUAUUGGCUGGCGUGUUAUAAUGCUCUGGUGUGUGUGUGUGUGUGUGUGUGUUUUAAUGUUGUUUUUCCACAAGUACUUCCAAGGAACAUGCAUUGCAGUGCGCUUGCAGUGUUGCACGUAAGGAACUUGCUGCAAGCGGGUUGAUAAAUAUAUAUAAAUAUAAAACUACUUGCAGGGAGGACCUCAUAUGUACGCAGAUACACAGCUCGGGUGAGAUGUGCAAUAAUAACGGGAGUGUUAAAAAAAAAAGGCGUUGGGUUUAAAAUCUCUGCAAUGAUGUAACUAAAGCGGUCAGAUGCAAGUGGUGCAGAGAUGGUAGGGGAAAAAAAUCUCAAUGUUCACUUAAUGGUUUGUACGUCACGUUCCAGCAAAAUGCCUCUGUGAGUAGUUUUUUUUGAGACCACAUGCUAAAAAUAGCAGCGGGGUUUGAUCGCACUCCAGAAAUAGACGGAGGGAUUCACUUGUAUAAAAAGAGAGCGCGGGUGGAGGAGUGCCUGAAUGCGGCUGCUAUAAAUGCAACUCAAUCAAGAAAUUAAUUAUUGGAACCCUUUUUUCCCCCUCUCAGCAGAUCAACCUUAAGCGACGGUGAUUCGGGGCUUAUAUUUCAGAACUGAAAUGUCAACCAUGUGAUCUGAGGUAAACAAGUGGUUCGGAGAGGCAAUCGCUCACGACCAAGGAUGACUUGCUUCCUCUUCGGCUCCGUGGUUUUCAGGAUGACUGAUAAGGUAAA